UGAAGUUUUCAGCUAGAGACACC
This 23-nucleotide small nuclear RNA is filed under the name Arabidopsis thaliana (thale cress). RNAcentral describes it as "snRNA_08388". Lineage: Eukaryota; Viridiplantae; Streptophyta; Magnoliopsida; Brassicales; Brassicaceae. The record is from RNAcentral.